UUCCAUCUAAGAUUGAUCUAUUAAGAAAUUCAUCUCUAUAAACGAUUUUGUGUUGCUGCAAAUUUUCGUCAUAACCCGCUGAAAUUUCUCGAUGAGAAUUCUACAAUCGCAACUUGCACCAAUUUCCUUGCUGUUAUACUGCCGAAAUUUUCUUGAUUAAAUUAGAUAUCCUUGCUGUCAUAUAAACUGUGAUUUUGCUAUCAAUUCCCU
This 210-nucleotide long non-coding RNA is filed under the name Musa acuminata (dwarf banana). RNAcentral's name for it is "long non-coding RNA (MACU_LNC005306)". Lineage: Eukaryota; Viridiplantae; Streptophyta; Magnoliopsida; Zingiberales; Musaceae. The record is from RNAcentral.